Micropterus salmoides (largemouth bass) is the source of this 421-nucleotide long non-coding RNA. RefSeq lists it as uncharacterized. The record is from RefSeq and is a predicted model, not a curated record. The transcript is spliced from 5 exons. NCBI's taxonomy places the organism in Eukaryota, Metazoa, Chordata, Actinopteri, Centrarchiformes, Centrarchidae.
AGUCUCCGGGUUGGACGCUCUGGACAAAGACACCUGACCUGCAGGCAUAAAGGUAAAAUACCCGGGACUCCCCACCAGUAUUAGAACUGAAGAAGCCCCUUGGAUGAGAGGUGAAACAUCUUCAACCAAGUCCAGUUGCCCUCGAUUAACGCUUUUUGGGAAGAAGCCCACUGAGAAUCAUUUAAGGAAGACCUGGCCAAGAAAGGCAGAAGAAUGGAAUUUAAAGGAAUCACUGUCACCAGGAAGUCAUUGCUCGAUCCUAAAGUACUGAAGUGGACCCAAAACGGCCCCCUAUAUUUGAGUGCUCGCAGGCGAACGGCCGCUCUCCGGUGUGAACACUCUGGUGCGUCUUCAGGUGUCCCGACUGCGUGAAACGCUUCCCGCACUGAGCACAGCUGUACGGCCGCUCGCCCGUGUGAAC